Long non-coding RNA from Sciurus carolinensis (gray squirrel), 2978 nucleotides. RefSeq lists it as uncharacterized. The transcript is spliced from 3 exons. The record is from RefSeq and is a predicted model, not a curated record. Lineage: Eukaryota; Metazoa; Chordata; Mammalia; Rodentia; Sciuridae.
CCCUUCCCGGGUGAGACCCCUUAGAGUCGCGAGCGCCCCACUGCACCCCAGGAGUUCACGCCUGCCUCCCAAGUGUAAGUUCUCCCGAGCGCUGACUUUUCGAGAACUCCUGGCCCGGCCUCGCCGAGACCUUCCGUGGCUCCGCCGCCCCUGUGCCGCCCCUGUCCCGUCCCUCAGACGUGGCUGCACCGCGGGAUGGGCAGUAUAAAGGGCCGGAGGCAGACCGGGCCGAGACCGAGACGUGGCGCAGCCGCCCUACCCGUCUAGGCUCCAGAGCUUGAAUUUUGGCCAUUAGGCUCAGUUGCCAGCCUAGAGCAGAGGAACAGGGUGGGGGCUGAAGAGAACAUCACCUGGACCAGGCAAAGAGGCUGCUGUGGACCACUGGUGCCCAUUAAGUGAAACCACGGUACUGGCAGUGUUGAAGAUGUGAUCCAUGGCAUUUAAGAACAAAAAAAAAAAAAGAAGAAGAAGAAGAAGAAGAAAGAAAGAAAGAAAGAAAAAGAAAAAAAAAACUUGAUUGUCUGAAUUAUCCCAUCAAUUAUUUUUUCUUAACAUAGCUAGACAUUGGUAAAAAAGAAGUGAAGUUUGAUGACUCAGUAAGAUUGCUGAGAGCUGGCUUUUUUCAUGUACUAUAAAUUACUUGGAAGACUCAUGAUUGUGGCUACAGGUGACACUGUGAUGUUCCCCCAAGUUUUGACUGAUGAAGAAUCUGAAGAUAGGGAGAUUUCCAGGAACCAUCUGCCCCUACUACAUUCUCUUGAGCUUUGCCAAGUUCCGUUUAGGGCUCUUUUCGUCCCAAGAAGCACACACUGCCCUCCAAAGCAGAGCUCACUCUGUUGGUGGUUACCGGUGAGCACACCAAUUCUAUUUCUAAAUCAACAGUCCACACUCCUCAAAAGAAAGUGGCCGUAGCACGUAUGAGAAUGACCACAAACGGGCACGUUGCAAAAUCGGGUUCCUGGUCCUUAACACUCUACCAGUCUGCACUGGAGACUCCAUCCAUCUGGUCCCUCUCUGACAUCUGAUUUCUACCCAGUUCUACCCAUGGCUGCCUCACCCUUCCCAGGUAGAGGGAUCUGCUCUGUAGUUGCUGGUUGUUACACAGAGGUUGAUACAGAAUGACCUGCCCUCACCAUUCCAAGUGAGUUCUUCUCACCUGUGAGUUCUCUUGAAUUCACUCCCCAGGUGAGAACCACAUCCUGCUACCUCAUGCCACAUUCAAGGGAGAAGCCCAGUUAAGUCCAGUGGUCAAAGCAAUGAACAGCUCAAGAAUGUAAGCACCUGAGCACACGUUCAGCAAGACACGCUCACUACCAGUUAUGGGGAAUGUUUCAAUAGCUGGGUUUUUUUCUUUUUUUAGGGGAGUAUAUAGCCAUCCUUAAAAUUUCAGUAGGACAUUGUAUUUUACUUUAGCCAUAUACAGAAAACCAAAGUAUUCUAAAAAUCUGGAAAUAUUUUGCCUUAUCUUUUGGGUUAUAUUUCUAGAUAUAUUUUUCUAGCAACCCAAUUUCCUUGAGAUAAAAUUGGUGUCCUCAAAACAGCCCAAGUUGUCUUUUAUAAGUAUGGUGCAGGGAAAGGAAAAAAUGCUAAGUUUAAAAGAUUUUUUGGAAUAUCUACAGGAAAUACAGAUGGUUUGUGGCAUGAAGAUAAAGCAUCCGUAUGGUUUGCUGAGUGUUAUUUUCUGACAUUGAGACUUGGAUAUAUCUUAAGUGCCUACGAGCAAAGAAUGGGUAUGCCUUUUUAAAAAAGAUAUUUGACACUUAUUAAUCAAUGUCCUCUGUAUUCCUGCCUUUGAAGCUAGAGCUUUGAGAGGAAAUAAGUACCUUUAGAAAUGUAUUUUCAAAAAUAGUGGUCACCCUCCUCAGAUUUAGAAGCACAAGUUCCUCUGACUUGGGAGAUUAACUCAUAAUGACCUUGAAUUCAAUGAGAACAACAUGUAUGAAAUUAAACCAAAAUGUCUUCAGAAGCAAAUCAGUAGGAAGCAGACCAUCAGGGAUCCUAAAGCCCUCUGUCAAAUCUCAUUUCAGACCCUCCUCUUCAUUCCCGUUAUUACUUCCUUGAUUCAGCAUGUCAGCUUCUCUCAUCCAAACACCAAAGCCUCCUGCAGGUCUCCCUGUCAUCGUACUUAUUCCCCAAACAGCAGCCUCCCAUCACCACACAUAUCAUCCUUCAUACACUGAUUUUAUUUAAAUUGCAAACUACCUGGCUUUCAAACAAGAACAAAGAACAAAACUUUCUUGCAGCUAGGUGAAACCACGGAACUUGGUGAUGACUUAGAUAUGCAAGGUGGGUGGAGUGUUUUGGAAAGCGUUAACUAAUGGGAAUGAUCUUUGCUGCCUUUCUUCCUGGAACUUGAUUGUGAUCGGUGAAAUUCCCUCUUGGACUGCAAGGUGACCUUGAGGAUGUAGGCCAUGAGCCAAGGAUGAUACGGUGAAAGGAACACGAGUCGCUGCUGAAACGGUGGCACCCCCAUCUCGGUGCUGAGUGACUGCACCCCAGACUUCAUGACAUGAGAAGCUCUGUUCCCUGUGAUUUAUUCCUCUUUGUUUCUGUUCUGUUUUUAGCAUAAGAAUGCAAUUGCUGCUGCGUAGAAUGCAGAGCAGCACAGAGGCCAUCCCUGCCCUUCUCGGGGUUACUGGGGAAGGUAGACGUUAACUAUGGAUCUGACACCUAUGUAAUUGUAAGUCCUGAUUAGUGCAAGGACAGAAAAUCGGGGAUAUGGGUUAGUCCAGUGACUCAGGAGAGGUGUCACUGAAAAAGUGGCACUUGAGUUGACAUUUGAUAGAAGAGACCAAUAAGAAAGUGGGGAGAUGGGAAGUGAGUAGACUCCAGAGAAGAGUAGAAAUACUGAUUAACAUUGGACUUUAAUUCAAGCACACUUAUUAUAAUAGCAAAGGCAGUGAUCAUAAUUGCAAAAGAAUAGCUAUAGAUAACUGUCUUAGGCCAUUGCACACUAAUAUAAAAAAAUACCUUGAACU